AUGGCUCAGGAUGAACGCUGGCGGCGUGCUUAACACAUGCAAGUCGAACGGAGUUAAGAAGGAAGCUUGCUUCAUUUAAACUUAGUGGCGGACGGGUGAGUAACGCGUGAGGAACCUGCCCUUCAGUGGGGAACAACAACUAGAAAUGGUUGCUAAUACCGCAUAAUGUCGGAUUGCCGCAUGACAAACCGACCAAAGGAUUUAUUCGCUGAAGGAUGGCCUCGCGUCCGACUAGAUAGUUGGUGAGGUAACGGCCCACCAAGUCUGCGAUCGGUAGCCGAACUGAGAGGUUGAUCGGCCACAUUGGGACUGAGACACGGCCCAGACUCCUACGGGAGGCAGCAGUGGGGAAUAUUGGGCAAUGGGCGAAAGCCCUGACCCAGCAACGCCGCGUGAAGGAUGACGGUCUUCGGAUUGUAAGCUUCUUUAAUUGGGGAAGAACAAAAUGACCUACCCAAAGAAUAAGUCACGGCUAACUACGUGCCAGCCGCCGC
RNAcentral lists this ribosomal RNA (494 nucleotides) under uncultured bacterium. RNAcentral's name for it is "bacterial SSU rRNA". It matches the Rfam family "Bacterial small subunit ribosomal RNA", at positions 19 to 518 of the family's 1533-position model. The record is from RNAcentral.